Molecule: ribosomal RNA, 1372 nt
Filed under: uncultured bacterium
Lineage: Bacteria
Description: bacterial SSU rRNA
Rfam family: Bacterial small subunit ribosomal RNA
Source: RNAcentral
GAUGAACGCUGGCGGCGUGCCUAAUACAUGCAAGUCGAGCGAACGGACGAGAAGCUUGCUUCUCUGAUGUUAGCGGCGGACGGGUGAGUAACACGUGGAUAACCUACCUAUAAGACUGGGAUAACUUCGGGAAACCGGAGCUAAUACCGGAUAAUAUUUUGAACCGCAUGGUUCAAAAGUGAAAGACGGUCUUGCUGUCACUUAUAGAUGGAUCCGCGCUGCAUUAGCUAGUUGGUAAGGUAACGGCUUACCAAGGCAACGAUGCAUAGCCGACCUGAGAGGGUGAUCGGCCACACUGGAACUGAGACACGGUCCAGACUCCUACGGGAGGCAGCAGUAGGGAAUCUUCCGCAAUGGGCGAAAGCCUGACGGAGCAACGCCGCGUGAGUGAUGAAGGUCUUCGGAUCGUAAAACUCUGUUAUUAGGGAAGAACAUAUGUGUAAGUAACUGUGCACAUCUUGACGGUACCUAAUCAGAAAGCCACGGCUAACUACGUGCCAGCAGCCGCGGUAAUACGUAGGUGGCAAGCGUUAUCCGGAAUUAUUGGGCGUNAAGCGCGCGUAGGCGGUUUUUUAAGUCUGAUGUGAAAGCCCACGGCUCAACCGUGGAGGGUCAUUGGAAACUGGAAAACUUGAGUGCAGAAGAGGAAAGUGGAAUUCCAUGUGUAGCGGUGAAAUGCGCAGAGAUAUGGAGGAACACCAGUGGCGAAGGCGACUUUCUGGUCUGUAACUGACGCUGAUGUGCGAAAGCGUGGGGAUCAAACAGGAUUAGAUACCCUGGUAGUCCACGCCGUAAACGAUGAGUGCUAAGUGUUAGGGGGUUUCCGCCCCUUAGUGCUGCAGCUAACGCAUUAAGCACUCCGCCUGGGGAGUACGACCGCAAGGUUGAAACUCAAAGGAAUUGACGGGGACCCGCACAAGCGGUGGAGCAUGUGGUUUAAUUCGAAGCAACGCGAAGGACCUUACCAAAUCUUGACAUCCUUUGACAACUCUAGAGAUAGAGCUUUCCCCUUCGGGGGACAAAGUGACAGGUGGUGCAUGGUUGUCGUCAGCUCGUGUCGUGAGAUGUUGGGUUAAGUCCCGCAACGAGCGCAACCCUUAAGCUUAGUUGCCAUCAUUAAGUUGGGCACUCUAAGUUGACUGCCGGUGACAAACCGGAGGAAGGUGGGGAUGACGUCAAAUCAUCAUGCCCCUUAUGAUUUGGGCUACACACGUGCUACAAUGGACAAUACAAAGGGCAGCGAAACCGUGAGGUCAAGCAAAUCCCAUAAAGUUGUUCUCAGUUCGGAUUGCAGUCUGCAACUCGACUACAUGAAGCUGGAAUCGCUAGUAAUCGUAGAUCAGCAUGCUACGGUGAAUACGUUCCCGGGUCU